GAUGAAGAACGCAGCGAAAUGCGAUAAGUAAUGUGAAUUGCAGAAUUCAGUGAAUCAUCGAAUCUUUGAACGCACCUUGCGCUCCCUGGUAUUCCGGGGAGCACGCCUGUUCGAGUGUCGCGAAAUUCUUCAAGCCUUGGAUGGAUUUUUUUUGUCUGUCCUUGGGCUUGGUUGUUGGGCUCUGCCGUGUCCUUCAUUGGGACGGCUGGCCUUAAAAGCAUUAGCCGAUCCUCGUGUGGUACUGGUUCUACUCAGCGUGAUAACAAUCUGAUCGUUGAGGACAUCUUCUGGAUGGCCAGUCAUCAUUUGGGUUGCUUCUAAACCGGUUUCGCAGAUUGCUCAAUCUGUGUGCCACUUUUCAGCUUUGACCUCGAAUCAGGUGGGACUACCCGCUGAACUUAAGCAUAUCAAUAAGCGGAGGA
Molecule: unclassified non-coding RNA, 422 nt
Filed under: soil metagenome
Description: partial contains 5.8S ribosomal RNA, internal transcribed spacer 2, and large subunit ribosomal RNA
Rfam family: 5.8S ribosomal RNA (bases 1-120)
Source: RNAcentral